AGACCCGAAACCCGGUGAUCUAGCCAUGGGCAGGUUGAAGGUUGGGUAACACUAACUGGAGGACCGAACCGACUAAUGUUGAAAAAUUAGCGGAUGACCUGUGGCUGGGGGUGAAAGGCCAAUCAAACCGGGAGAUAGCUGGUUCUCCCCGAAAGCUAUUUAGGUAGCGCCUCGUGAAUUCAUCUCCGGGGGUAGAGCACUGUUUCGGCUAGGGGGCCAUCCCGGCUUACCAACCCGAUGCAAACUGCGAAUACCGGAGAAUGUUAUCACGGGAGACACACGGCGGGUGCUAACGUCCGUCGUGAAGAGGGAAACAACCCAGACCGCCAGCUAAGGUCCCAAAGUCAUGGUUAAGUGGGAAACGAUGUGGGAAGGCCCAGACAGCCAGGAUGUUGGCUUAGAAGCAGCCAUCAUUUAAAGAAAGCGUAAUAGCUCACUGGUCGAGUCGGCCUGCGCGGAAGAUGUAACGGGGCUAAACCAUGCACCGAAGCUGCGGCAGCGACGCUGAUGCGUUGUUGGGUAGGGGAGCGUUCUGUAAGCCUGCGAAGGUGACCUG
RNAcentral lists this ribosomal RNA (556 nucleotides) under Salmonella enterica subsp. enterica serovar Typhimurium. Its description in RNAcentral is "partial 23S ribosomal RNA". It matches the Rfam family "Bacterial large subunit ribosomal RNA", at positions 711 to 1263 of the family's 2925-position model. The record is from RNAcentral. Lineage: Bacteria; Pseudomonadati; Pseudomonadota; Gammaproteobacteria; Enterobacterales; Enterobacteriaceae.